RNAcentral lists this ribosomal RNA (361 nucleotides) under uncultured bacterium. RNAcentral's name for it is "partial 16S ribosomal RNA". It matches the Rfam family "Bacterial small subunit ribosomal RNA", at positions 338 to 696 of the family's 1533-position model. The record is from RNAcentral.
CCUACGGGUGGCAGCAGUGAGGAAUAUUGGUCAAUGGGCUUACGCCUGAACCAGCCAAGUCGCGUGAGGGAAGACUGCCCUAUGGGUUGUAAACCUCUUUUGUCAGGGAGCAACGCCGGCUACGUGUAGCCGGACUGAGAGUACCUGCAGACAAAGCAUCGGCUAACUCCUUGCCAGCAGCCGCGGUCAUACCGAGGAUGCGAGCGUUAUCCGGAGUUAGUGGGUUUAAAGGGUGCGUAGGCGGAAUGCCAAGUCAGCGGUAAACUCCCGGGCCUCAACCUGGAUCCGCCGUUGAAACUGGCGUUCUGGAGUGGGCGAGAAGUAUGCGGAAUGAGGGGUGUAGCGGGGAAAGUCAUAGAUA